GACAGAGGGUGCAACCGUUGUUCGGAAUUACUGGGCGUAAAGCGUGUGUAGGCGGUUUGCUAAGUCGGGUGUGAAAGCCCCGGGCUCAACCCGGGAAGUGCACUCGAAACUGGCAGGCUAGAGUACUGGAGAGGUUGGUGGGAUUCUCGGUGUAGAGGUGAAAUUCGUAGAUAUCGAGAGGAACACCGGUGGCGAAGGCGGCCAACUGGACAGAUACUGACGCUGAGACACGAAAGCGUGGGGAGCAAACAGG
Molecule: ribosomal RNA, 253 nt
Filed under: uncultured bacterium
Lineage: Bacteria
Description: partial 16S ribosomal RNA
Rfam family: Bacterial small subunit ribosomal RNA
Source: RNAcentral